Long non-coding RNA from Ruditapes philippinarum (Manila clam), 2295 nucleotides. RefSeq lists it as uncharacterized. Lineage: Eukaryota; Metazoa; Mollusca; Bivalvia; Venerida; Veneridae. The record is from RefSeq and is a predicted model, not a curated record. The transcript is spliced from 3 exons.
UUGUGUCCAGAAUGAUAUGCAAAUACUGUUAAGAAAUAUAUUCAGAAAUACAUUGAAAUUUGUAUAUUUGUGCUAUUCUUAUUCUAUUCAUCCCGAUACAUGUAUGAAUCAAAAGCUCGGUAACACUGUUCAUUUUUGGGACAUUUUACACUAUUCAAGUAAUCAUUCUGGGAAAACAGAGCAAGUGCAUGAUCUGAAAUUUUUGCAUAUAGGUUUUUUGCUGAGAUCUACAUCAAAUAGAAUAUCAUGUAAUCAAUCUUGAAAAAUUAUUUCCAAUCCGGUCAUGUCAAAAGCCUCAAGGGAGUCCCUUUAAGAUGACUGACCAUCAAGGUCAAAUACUGAAUUUAACUUAUUGUCAUAUUGUUAAAUUUAUUUGUUUUGUGUUGCAUAUAUAUUUAUAAGAAGAUUUCCUUGAAAAAUAUUUACCUCAUUUUGACUGGAAAAGUACAUAUAUUAUAACAACCUUAGAAUUCAGUCAUCAGAGGCCAUUAAUGCUAAAGGUAGUAAUAAGAGUAUGAGUCUGAAGUUUACAAUAUUUAUGAUUUCUCUUUGGUUACAGAGAGAAACAGUUUUCCUUUUUGUAUUUUAUUAUAUUGAAAAAUGUAUAAUUUGCUGUCAAGUUGUGUGUAACUAAAUGUGUAACUAGUACAUUUUACAUUAUUUUCUGUUCUUAGUAAUUAAUCUAUAGAAUAAGAGUAUAGGAAAAAGAAUCUCUGGUAAAAAAUAUUGAAAAUCUUAAAAGCACAUAAAUUAUAAUGUGCCAGAGAUAAAUAAUUUUGUAAUUCUUUAGAAAGGUCAAGCAUGUGUUCAAUGAUGUUUUAAUGAUGUAUUUAGAGCAUUUUAAAUGUUUAACAACUGAAAAGAGUAACACUGAACAAACAGUCAUGUUUUGUAAAGGUAGCAAAAUGUGAGCAAAGUAUUAUUUUGACUUCCAUACAAAAUACUAAAUUAAUGUAAUUAUACCAAUUUCUCUACAUGUAUAUGCACAUGGUCAAUGAGUACAUGUAACUAUUUGAGAAGUGCAACAAGAUAUGUAAAAGAAAAGUUUCAAAAAUAAAAAUGUUAUCUUUUCUAAGGCUUAAUGGACCUUUAAAGUUAUUAUUUAAUAUAUAUUUAACACAGAUAACAUAUGUGCAGAAGAAUUUGUAGUUAAAUGAUAUAACUUGCUUGUUUAAUACUGAUACUUGUGCAUGAUCUUUAAUAUAAGAGAUUAAAUUUUGUUUUGCUUUUUUUAGAUGACUUCUGUCAUGUUACUGUUUGAUAACAGUGAAGGUACAGUAGGUUCAGACAAGUUAUAUACAUGUAUACAGGACAAGACAGCUCAAACCGACAGUUUGUUAUAGCAAAAAGUGAUGAAGUUUCAGCCAUGAAGUCUUCAUGAUGAUAAUGAUGAUGAUCCUAGUUAUAGAUUCUUUGAAAUUAUCUGUAAGGAAGGGGUUUCUGCUGCAGAGAAGAAAAAAUUCAUACAGUAAGAAGUUGCCCACUCUGUUCAAAUGAAGCUGUCUGAAGUACCCAGUAGAACAAUGUAUUAUUUCUGAAACAACUUAAUUGAAGUGAAGCUUACUAUGUGAAGGAGUUAUAUCUGUAUUCAAAAGGAAACUUCAGCAUACAGAAUACCAAUUGAGAUAUUUGUAGCUUCAGUUAUGGGAGAACACAAGAUUAAUUGAACUGGAAUCCCUUCAGAUGUUGACAUAGCUAAUUUUGGAUAAUAUAAUGCCACAGAAAACUUGUCGGUCUUGGAGUAUGGCUGUUUAACAUAACACUGCAGAUUGUUCACCAGAACAAUGAAAUUACAGUUUUGCUUGUUAAUGAACUAAUUUACAUAAAUAUAUAAUUUUUGUAAGCAUGAAGAAAUUUGGAACAUAUCAUAUAAUGGAUAUUUGUUUCUUUUGCAUGCAAGAUCCAAAUAUAUUUCAUAGAGUGAACAGCAGAUUAAAUAUUUUCAUGAAUGGCAUUGAAAAACAUAUAUAAUGUAUAAGUAUAUCUUUGCUACAAUGUUGGUAAAUGGAGGCUGCUAUUUUACUGUGACUGAAAGUAGUUCAGAUAUGACGCCUUAUUAUGUCCGAGGUUUAUAGCCCAUCAUACAAGCCAAAGAGAGCAGAUCUUUUUUCUGUGUAGAACCAUUAAUUUUCAAUGUUCAUAUUUGAAAGUGAUUCUGUCAUAUUUCCUGAAUUUGUUUAAUUUCCUUCAUGAUUUGCAAAUAUUAAUUAUCUACUCUUUAUUUAUCACAUUUUUCUGAGAAAUAAAUGUAUUUCCCACAAAAUUUCUGUUUGUUUAUAGGCUUUUUAUCCUCAU